RNAcentral lists this ribosomal RNA (550 nucleotides) under uncultured bacterium. RNAcentral's name for it is "bacterial SSU rRNA". It matches the Rfam family "Bacterial small subunit ribosomal RNA", at positions 355 to 895 of the family's 1533-position model. The record is from RNAcentral.
UGGGGAAUUUUUCGCAAUGGGCGAAAGCCUGACGAAGCAACGCCGCGUGGAGGAUGAAGGCCUUCGGGUCGUAAACUCCUGUCGACCGGGACGAAAGCAGUCUGGCCGAAUACGCCGGGCUGUUGACUGUACCGGUGGAGGAAGCCACGGCUAACUCUGUGCCAGCAGCCGCGGUAAUACAGAGGUGGCAAGCGUUGUACGGAAUUACUGGGCGUAAAGGGCGCGUAGGCGGCCCGAAAAGUCCCGCGUGAAAGCCCCCGGCUCAACCGGGGAACUGCGCGGGAAACUGCCGGGCUUGAGUUCGGGAGAGGGAAGCGGAAUUCCGGGUGUAGCGGUGAAAUGCGUAGAUAUCCGGAGGAACACCAGUGGCGAAGGCGGCUUCCUGGACCGACACUGACGCUGAGGCGCGAAAGCUAGGGGAGCAAACGGGAUUAGAUACCCCGGUAGUCCUAGCUGUAAACGAUGAGUGCUGGGUGUAGGGGGUGUUAACCCCCCCUGUGCCGAAGCUAACGCAUUAAGCACUCCGCCUGGGGAGUACGGUCGCAAGGCU